This 253-nucleotide ribosomal RNA is filed under the name uncultured bacterium. RNAcentral's name for it is "partial 16S ribosomal RNA". It matches the Rfam family "Bacterial small subunit ribosomal RNA", at positions 524 to 776 of the family's 1533-position model. The record is from RNAcentral.
UACGUAGGGUGCGAGCGUUAAUCGGAAUUACUGGGCGUAAAGCGUGCGCAGGCGGUUUUGUAAGCCAGAUGUGAAAUCCCCGGGCUUAACCUGGGAAUGGCAUUUGGGACUGCAAGGCUCGAGUGCGGCAGAGGAGACUGGAAUUCCUGGUGUAGCAGUGAAAUGCGUAGAUAUCAGGAGGAACACCGAUGGCGAAAGCAGGUCUCUGGGCUGACACUGACGCUCAUGCACGAAAGCGUGGGGAGCAAACAGG